AUAGGCGGUUUCAUGGGAGUUCAAGGGAAGAGAAGUGCGACCCAUGGAUGGAUCUUAUCAUUACUGGAAGUACAUGAUAAGACUUGAUAAAUGCGUGGAUAAGAGAAGCAUGGUUUUCCUGGUUAAGAGAAGAAACAAGAUUCUACACCAUCAAGUGUAAGGUAACCGGUUUUAUGAUUACUUCUCAUUUAUAUUUCUGUCUCUUGUAGGAGCGAUCAUGGCCAAGAAUGAUACGCCCUUGAAGACUAUGUACAUUGUGAUGUGAUAUAAGGAUCCAAG
RNAcentral lists this long non-coding RNA (279 nucleotides) under Brassica napus (rape). Its description in RNAcentral is "long non-coding RNA (BNAP_LNC020341)". Lineage: Eukaryota; Viridiplantae; Streptophyta; Magnoliopsida; Brassicales; Brassicaceae. The record is from RNAcentral.